RNAcentral lists this ribosomal RNA (264 nucleotides) under uncultured archaeon. RNAcentral describes it as "partial 16S ribosomal RNA". It matches the Rfam family "Archaeal small subunit ribosomal RNA", at positions 748 to 1009 of the family's 1478-position model. The record is from RNAcentral.
CAGCCCUAAACGAUGCGCGUUAGGUGUAUCGGUGACCACGAGUCACCGAGGUGCCGAAGGGAAACCGUGAAACGUGCCGCCUGGGAAGUACGGUCGCAAGGCUGAAACUUAAAGGAAUUGGCGGGGGGAGGCACCACAACGGGUGGAGCCUGCGGUUUAAUUGGACUCAACGCCGGGAAGCUCACCGGAUAAGACAGCGGAAUGAUUGCCGGGGCUGAAGACCCUGCAUGACCAGCUGAGAGGAGGUGCAUGGCGUAGUCGUGU